UUCGCAAUGCCCGAAAGGGUGACGAAGCGACGCCGCGUGUGGGAAGAAGGCCUUCGGGUUGUAAACCACUGUCGGGAGUUAAGAAAUGCAAGGAUAUUAAUAGUGUCUUUGUUUGACUAAGGCUCCGGAGGAAGCCACGGCUAACUCUGUGCCAGCAGCCGCGGUAAUACAGAGGCGGCAAGCGUUGUUCGGAAUUAUUGGGCGUAAAGAGCACGUAGGCGGCUAUGUAAGUCGGUUGUGAAAGCCUUCCGCUCAACGGAAGAACAGCAUCCGAUACUACAUGGCUUGAGUGCGGGAGGGGAGAGUGGAACUUCUGGUGGAGCGGUGAAAUGCGUAGAUAUCAGAAGGAACGCCGGCGGCGAAAGCGGCUCUCUGGUCCACAACUGACGCUGAGUGUGCGAAAGCUAGGGGAGCAAACGGGAUUAGAUACCCCGGUAGUCCUAGCCGUAAACGAUGGGCACUAAGUAGAGGGGUUUU
RNAcentral lists this ribosomal RNA (477 nucleotides) under uncultured bacterium. RNAcentral's name for it is "bacterial SSU rRNA". It matches the Rfam family "Bacterial small subunit ribosomal RNA", at positions 365 to 832 of the family's 1533-position model. The record is from RNAcentral.